This 358-nucleotide long non-coding RNA is filed under the name Salvia miltiorrhiza (redroot sage). RNAcentral describes it as "long non-coding RNA (SMIL_LNC000398)". The record is from RNAcentral. Lineage: Eukaryota; Viridiplantae; Streptophyta; Magnoliopsida; Lamiales; Lamiaceae.
UCAAAGAUGCAAAUCAAAGUAACAUCAUCACCAACCUUAUAGCAUUCUUGCUCGAUUCUAUCUCCACCUUUCACAAAACCAAAUUUUUUUUCAAUAUAUAAUCCACCACAACACAACAAUUAUCUCCCAUGACGUUAUGACCUUCUAAUGCAUCCUAUGUACCCAUUUUUCAAUUUUUUUUCACUUUUCUUUUUUUUUUUUUUUUUUUGUAGACUUGUAGGAUACUAGGAUUUUUUUCCAAUCAAAGACGAAGUUCAUAAACCAUGAACACACACCUCCACAAACCAACUAUCCCAUAACAACAAACUCCAAGCUCCCACCCACGGCUAAACCAAAUAAAAUGGAUAAUAAAAGCUCA